UACGUAGGUGGCAAGCGUUGUCCGGAUUUAUUGGGUUUAAAGGGCGCGUAGGCGGUUUGACAAGUCACUUGUGAAAUCUCUGAGCUUAACUCAGAACGGCCAAGUGAAACUGUUGUGCUAGAGUGCAGAAGGGGCAAUCGGAAUUCUUGGUGUAGCGGUGAAAUGCGUAGAUAUCAAGAGGAACACCUGAGGUGAAGACGGGUUGCUGGGCUGACACUGACGCUGAUGCGCGAAAGCCAGGGGAGCAAACGGG
This 253-nucleotide ribosomal RNA is filed under the name uncultured bacterium. Its description in RNAcentral is "partial 16S ribosomal RNA". It matches the Rfam family "Bacterial small subunit ribosomal RNA", at positions 524 to 776 of the family's 1533-position model. The record is from RNAcentral.